This 58-nucleotide transfer RNA is filed under the name Rattus norvegicus (Norway rat). It matches the Rfam family "tRNA", at positions 8 to 63 of the family's 71-position model. From Rfam's summary of the family: Transfer RNA (tRNA) molecules are approximately 80 nucleotides in length. Their secondary structure includes four short double-helical elements and three loops (D, anti-codon, and T loops). The record is from Rfam by way of RNAcentral. Lineage: Eukaryota; Metazoa; Chordata; Mammalia; Rodentia; Muridae.
UGGCUCAGUGGUGAAGAGCACUGAUUGCUGUUCCAGAGGUCCUGAGUUCAAUUCUCAG